CUGGCGGUGAAUGAUGACAGCUACCCGGGCUGACAGUGCACCGGGAACGGGUACGAUUUACCUGCUUGGGACGCGAUCAUCAGAGCGGUGUUGCCUUCAUUGUCCUGUUGAUUGAUGUCCAUGAAGGGACAGUUGUGAAGCCCGUACACAAUGUCCACGAAACCUUUGCAGCAAGCCACCAUCAAGCCGUUCUGUUGGUGACGGUCAACAGUAAGGAUCAUGUGAGAACUCUCCGCAGAGAGUUGGGUUCGUUUCGGGCGCAUGCUUGAUACAGUGUUGACGCCGGACGCCCGUUUGCUUUCUCCGGCAGGUACUCUGGAAACACAGAGUCAUCGGA
Long non-coding RNA from Larimichthys crocea (large yellow croaker), 337 nucleotides. RefSeq lists it as uncharacterized. The record is from RefSeq and is a predicted model, not a curated record. Lineage: Eukaryota; Metazoa; Chordata; Actinopteri; Sciaenidae. The transcript has 3 exons.